GGUGGUCCCCUCUGUUGGCCUUGCCUCUCAUUGCAAUAAACUUUGCUGUGAUUGUCACUGGUGCCAUAGCAUUCUGUUUCAGGAGUCAUGUGGAUGCAACAAGUCAGCCUCCUGCUUUGCAAUUCUCCCCUCACUGCACCUUCAGAUCCUGUCUCUCUACAGCUGGCGCCAGAACAGGGACCUGAAGGUGGAUGUUUGCCACACUGCUGAAGAAGUGCCACGGGAACUGAAGGGAACUUUGGAGCCGGGAAGCUCAGCCUUCGGGAUUUCUGCAGGAUCAAGGCUACCAGUGGUUAUGCAGCCAGGGCUUGAAACCCAGGCAUGAGCGGAUCCAAGUGACCUCAGUUUACCAUGACUGCACUAGUCAAAGACUUUCACAGAAUGUUCAUCCAGAAACUGAUAAUUGUGCCCAAUGCACCACACCCUCUUCCGAGGCACAUGAAGACCAGUAACCUCCUCCUUGGGGACAAGUUAAGAGGUUGACACAUGAUGCUGAAAAAAUAUUGAUGCAGACUUGCAGCUCACAAACUCCUGCUCACCUUUUCCUUGCGAUGCUCGCGUUUAUAACUACUACAGUAAGCAGUGAUAACUAUACUUCCUAGGCUUAUAUCCCUCAUCCACCUCUCAGUCAGGAUAUGACUCAAUUGGUAUGACUCCCCCAUGCCAGUGUAUACAAAUGACACCGAAUGGACACCUGGGACAUUUGACAGCAGAAGACCACAUAGGCCAAAUGAAGAAGCUUAUAUUUACUUAGAGCACGCCCUGGCCUGUGGCUGCCGGUUCUCAUGUCUCGACCAUACAUUCUUCAGAAAUGUAUCUGAUGGACCAUGCUCUACGUCUGGUGCCAGAGAUGAGGAGCCUGUCAACGUAUCGACUGACAAUUCGGGUUAUGCAAUGUCCUCCUACAGUCCACCGAAUACAAACAGAAAGGGGGAGAUGCUGGAGAACAACAGACCGGAGGCACCUUAAGAAUAUCCUGAAGGAAAGGGACAGAGCAGCAAGAAACUGAAAGCCGUUUCGUUCCCAGGACAAAAGUCCGCUGGGACUGCUCCUUCUCUCCAGAAGGACAUCAUCCGGGUGCCACCCUGGGGAUAAGAAUGUUUUGUCUGGUGCCAGAUGAACUCAUGACCCAGUAUGGAAAAUACUGCAGGUACAUGACCUGUCAAGAUGCCAAAUAUUAUGUUGUAUGUGCUUGCUGUUGUCAACAAUUUGCAAAAAUCAAACAGGCUUGAGCCAGGGGACCGAGGCUUUGGCUCCUGGAGAGUCUUAGCCCCCUGCUUUGCAAUCCUCUCAUCACCACACCUCUAGGACCUGUCUCUCUACAUAUUCCAUACUCUCAUUUUCUUUGUGUUUAUUUAUUACCAAUAUAUGUGUGUGACAUUU
Lynx canadensis (Canada lynx) is the source of this 1383-nucleotide long non-coding RNA. RefSeq lists it as uncharacterized. The transcript has 4 exons. The record is from RefSeq and is a predicted model, not a curated record. NCBI's taxonomy places the organism in Eukaryota, Metazoa, Chordata, Mammalia, Carnivora, Felidae.